AAUUGCUAACAUGGACAUUAUAGUGGGAAUUUUGUAAAAGAAUGGUGUAGAUGGGGCAAUUUUAUAUUUUAAUGUGCAUUUUUAAGUGAAAAUCGCUCUAAAAUGAGACACAUUAUAUACCAGUAAAAAGAGCAAAUAAAAUAUGAUCCAUACAAAAAAAUUUAUGUACUAUAUCAUGAUAUACAAUUUCGUAUAAGUUAAUUCGUCGCACUUGCGCUCGUCCCAAAUUUAAAAAAUGAUCUCUGAUCUAUACUCAUCUCAUGACCGACCAUCGAACUUGGCUGUGUGGCUCGUGGUGAAUUCGUGCCAUAUCAAACCAUUUCGAUGUCCUACUCCAUCUUAUUCCCAAUUACCAAAUCAUUUUUUCAUCUUCUAUUCUAUUCUUAUUCCCUCCAUUUUUAAAACUCACUCAGACAAAAAAGAAAGCUCACAAUUCAAAAACCUCCUCUUCUUCAGAAACUUCUAGAAGAAAUCAUCAACUCACCCAUUUCAAUCAGGUUUCUUGGAAUUUUGCGAUUAUGACGAUGCCAAAGAAAGAUAGGAUUAGCAAUUUACCCGGCGAAUUAUUGAAUCACAUUCUUUCAUUCCUUCCUAUGAAAGAGGCUGUGGCUACUAGUGCUUUGUCGAAGCGAUGAAAGAGGAUUUACACCUGGUUAUUACGCCUCGAAUUCAAUGACUUGCCUAUAUGUCAUUGUCAGAAACGUCCACAUUUGAUUGACUCUUCCCAUAUUUUUGAGAUGUAUGUUGAUAAUGUAUUGAAAGCAUCUCAAUCUUACAAUAUAACCACUUUUAGACUUCAUUUUGGGGGUGACUGUGAGAUUAAAUACCCGUUUUCAGGUUGCAAUCGAGGUUGUUGCCCUGAUAUGGAACCUAUGCGCUUGAAUGCCUGGUUAACUUUUCCCUUAGCCUGAGCAGUCAGGGAACUUGGCAUUUAUGCUCGUGUGAGGACACCUGAAAACCUACCAUCAACAAUAUUUGGUUGUGGAACAUUGGAAUUGUUGAAGCUCGAUGUCAAUCUUGAUCUUGACUUCCUUUGUCUGUGUGUUUGCCAAACUUGAAAGAGUUUAAUCUCUCUUUAAUCUUCUUCCUGGAUGAUGACUCUGUGGCUAGGCUAGUUUCGAGCUGUCCAUCCCUUCAACGCCUUGAUCAGUAUGGUGUCUAGGAACCUGAGGCUCCUCCUGUAAUUUUCUUCACCUUCUCUUCAUAGAAUAGCUAUAGAGAAUGUUAUACCCUAUGAUGGAUGAAUGAGUAAGGUUGAGUUUAAUGUUCCUAACUUGGAGUAUCUAGAUUAUUUUGACACAUGUCCAAGGAGCUACUCUAUUGCACAUCUGAAUGCUCUAGUUGAAGCGGACAUUGAACUGGUUGAAGGACCCGAUUUUGAUAGUAAGAUUGUACUGGGCCUUGUCUAUUUGAUGUCUAAUGUCCAGCAUUUGUUUUUGCGUGAAUGGCUUGUAUUGGUGCGUCCUUUUAUUCCUUUCAUCCUUAUGAGUUCUGACUAGGCUUCAAAUAUACUCUUUAUUUUAUUUUAUUUUAUUUUUUUUUAUUUUAUCUAACUGGUUUGCCCAUUGGUCUAAGGUUUAGAUUAUGUAGAUGCUUCUGAACUCAACUGUAAGCUGCCAGUCUUUCGUAAUCUAAAAAGUUUGAAGCUUGGUUGUUGUGGCUAUUAUGAUUGGAAUAAACUGUUGAUGGGGCUAUUAAAUUGCGCGCCUUUCCUAGAAGAACUUACUUUAACACAGGGAAUCAGAUUCAAUUCAUAGGUGAUGAAAGUGAUUAUGCUUAUAUGAUGGCGUCUGAUCGUGACUGUUAGUCUUGGAAAAGAACUCAAUCAGUUCCAUCUUGUUUGGGGUCUCAUUUCAAAAAGUUUGUAAUGAAGAAAUAUUUCCAUUCAGAAUGGGAUCUAAAAAUCAUUAAGUAUUUUAUGACAAACUCAUUAGUUUUGGAGGAGUUGGUGUGUAGUUUGUCAUCAAGGACAUAUUAUGAGGAGUUACCAAGAGCCUCGAUCACUUGUUUAGUAACUGUAAAAGACAAGCGAUUUUAUUUGGGUCUCAUAUUAUAAGCAUUCUCAAAUAAUGGAUGUAGUACUCUUUAGUGGUUAGAAUAAGUAGUUUUGUUGUUUUGUAUAGACAGUUUGGAGUCUGAUGUUAGGAUUUUGAUGGUGUCUUGUUUGCAGUUCGCGACUUUACAGUAGUGAUGAGCACUUUAUAUUGGGUGCUAGUGCUACUAUAGUCAGAGAGGCAUGACUGAUUUCAAGUGGUUAAGAAUCUUAUCUUCACUGCUAAACUUCUGCUGUUCUUCUAAACUUCAUGUUAAGCUGCAGAUGAAGAGGAGAUUCAAAGUUCCUGAUUCGAGUUAUGUUAAUUUCUGUUCAGGCUUCCGAUAGCUAUUGGAAAUUUGGAAUAAUA
Molecule: long non-coding RNA, 2402 nt
Organism: Chenopodium quinoa (quinoa)
Lineage: Eukaryota; Viridiplantae; Streptophyta; Magnoliopsida; Caryophyllales; Amaranthaceae
Exons: 3
Source: RefSeq, a predicted model, not a curated record